Molecule: ribosomal RNA, 462 nt
Filed under: uncultured beta proteobacterium
Lineage: Bacteria; Pseudomonadati; Pseudomonadota; Betaproteobacteria
Description: bacterial SSU rRNA
Rfam family: Bacterial small subunit ribosomal RNA
Source: RNAcentral
GGAAGCAGGGGAUCGUAAGACCUUAUGCUUUUGGAGUGGCCGAUGUCUGAUUAGCUAGUUGGUGGGGUAAGGGCCUACCAAGGCGACGAUCAGUAGUUGGUCUGAGAGGACGGCCAGCCACACUGGGACUGAGACACGGCCCAGACUCCUACGGGAGGCAGCAGUGGGGAAUUUUGGACAAUGGGCGAAAGCCUGAUCCAGCAAUGCCGCGUGAGUGAAGAAGGCCUUCGGGUUGUAAAGCUCUUUCGGCCGGAACGAAAUCGGGCGCGUGAAUAACGCGCCUGGAUGACGGUACUGGAAGAAGAAGCACCGGCUAACUACGUGCCAGCAGCCGCGGUAAUACGUAGGGUGCGAGCGUUAAUCGGAAUUACUGGGCGUAAAGCGUGCGUAGGCGGUUUCGCAAGUCAGAUGUGAAAUCCCCGGGCUUAACCUGGGAACUGCGUUUGAAACUACAAGGCUAGA